This 253-nucleotide ribosomal RNA is filed under the name uncultured bacterium. RNAcentral describes it as "partial 16S ribosomal RNA". It matches the Rfam family "Bacterial small subunit ribosomal RNA", at positions 524 to 776 of the family's 1533-position model. The record is from RNAcentral.
GCCAGAGGAGGCCAACGAUGUUCGGAAUCAUUGGGCUUAAAGCGCGCGUAGGCGGCCUUGUAAGUCUCUUGUGAAAUACCACGGCUCACCCGUGGAACUGCAGGGCAAACUGCAAGACUUGAGGUCGGUAGAGGCGCCUGGAACUCUAGGUGGCGCGGUGAAAUGCGUAGAUAUCUAGGGGAACGCCGGAGGCGAAAGCGGGGCGCUGGGCCGAUUCUGACGCUGAUGCGCGAAAGCGUGGGGAGCAAACAGG